GAUGAAGAACGCAGCGAAAUGCGAUACUUGGUGUGAAUUGCAGAAUCCCGUGAACCAUCGAGUCUUUGAACGCAAGUUGCGCCCGAAGCCACUAGGCCGAGGGCACGCCUGCCUGGGCGUCACACGCCGUUGCCCCCCCAUCUACUCCUUCGGGAUUGCGGGGGGGCGGAUGAUGGCCUCCUGUGCGCCUAGCCGCGCGGUUGGCAUAAAUACCAAGUCCUCGGCGACGCACGCCACGACAAUCGGUGGUUGCGAAACCUCGGUUGCCCGUCGUGUGCGUUCGUCGCGCAUCGAGGGCUCGAAAAAAUGCUCGGCUCCGGCCGGGCUUUCAACGCGACCCCAGGUCAGGCGGGGUUACCCGCUGAAUUUAAGCAUAUCAAUAAGCGGAGGA
This 391-nucleotide unclassified non-coding RNA is filed under the name soil metagenome. Its description in RNAcentral is "partial contains 5.8S ribosomal RNA, internal transcribed spacer 2, and large subunit ribosomal RNA". The stretch from base 1 to 122 matches the Rfam family "5.8S ribosomal RNA", at positions 35 to 154 of the family's 154-position model. The record is from RNAcentral.